This 456-nucleotide ribosomal RNA is filed under the name Triticum aestivum (bread wheat). Its description in RNAcentral is "partial small subunit ribosomal RNA". Lineage: Eukaryota; Viridiplantae; Streptophyta; Magnoliopsida; Poales; Poaceae. The record is from RNAcentral.
AUGUUCCACUCUUUGUUGUUGCAGAAGUUCAUGUUGUGUUGCCGCAAGCAAGUAAGCAUGCUUGGGUGCGCUAGCUCGGUUGAUGUGCAUGCUCAUGGCCCGUCAACACAUGCUAGUGGACAUAUUGUUGCUUCCUUGAGCCAUGUCGGUGCAGCUACCUGUAGCCAUGCCGCCUCGUUGUCUCGGCAUGUUGAGGAGCCCGAGGAAGACGAGGAAGAAGCGGAUGUUGAGCAAGAUGAGGGAAGUGGCGAUGGUGACGAGGAGGAGUACGACGAGGAUGGCGGACCUCCAUCCACUCAGCUAACUCAGGACAAAAGGAAGUCUCAUUCACACAAGAAGGUUUGGAGUCCAUCACCGAUCGAGAAAGAGCGUUCUCGUCGCCGAACAUCGAAAGAAAAAAAGUGUCGCUCAAAGAGAAACAAGGAACGUACUGCCAAGAGUGGUAGGAAUAAGUGA